GACGAACGCUGGCGGCGUGCUUAACACAUGCAAGUCGAACGGAGCACCUUUGAAAGAAACUUCGGUCAAUGGAUGAGACUGCUUAGUGGCGGACGGGUGAGUAACGCGUGAGGAACCUGCCUUUCAGAGGGGGACAACAGUUAGAAAUGGCUGCUAAUACCGCAUAAGCACACAGGACCGCAUGGUCCGGUGUGAAAAACUCCGGUGGUAUGAGAUGGACCCGCGUCUGAUUAGCUAGUUGGUAAGGUAACGGCUUACCAAGGCGACGAUCAGUAGCCGACCUGAGAGGGUGACCGGCCACAUUGGGACUGAGACACGGCCCAA
This 324-nucleotide ribosomal RNA is filed under the name uncultured bacterium. RNAcentral describes it as "bacterial SSU rRNA". It matches the Rfam family "Bacterial small subunit ribosomal RNA", at positions 28 to 334 of the family's 1533-position model. The record is from RNAcentral.